CCCCGGUAAACGGCGGCCGUAACUAUAACGGUCCUAAGGUAGCGAAAUUCCUUGUCGGGUAAGUUCCGACCUGCACGAAUGGCGUAAUGAUGGCCAGGCUGUCUCCACCCGAGACUCAGUGAAAUUGAACUCGCUGUGAAGAUGCAGUGUACCCGCGGCAAGACGGAAAGACCCCGUGAACCUUUACUAUAGCUUGACACUGAACAUUGAGCCUUGAUGUGUAGGAUAGGUGGGAGGCUUUGAAGUGUGGACGCCAGUCUGCAUGGAGCCGACCUUGAAAUACCACCCUUUAAUGUUUGAUGUUCUAACGUGGACCCGUAAUCCGGGUUGCGGACAGUGUCUGGUGGGUAGUUUGACUGGGGCGGUCUCCUCCUAAAGAGUAACGGAGGAGCACGAAGGUUGGCUAAUCCUGGUCGGACAUCAGGAGGUUAGUGCAAUGGCAUAAGCCAGCUUGACUGCGAGCGUGACGGCGCGAGCAGGUGCGAAAGCA
RNAcentral lists this ribosomal RNA (490 nucleotides) under Salmonella enterica. RNAcentral describes it as "partial 23S ribosomal RNA". It matches the Rfam family "Bacterial large subunit ribosomal RNA", at positions 1918 to 2407 of the family's 2925-position model. Lineage: Bacteria; Pseudomonadati; Pseudomonadota; Gammaproteobacteria; Enterobacterales; Enterobacteriaceae. RNAcentral also lists the same sequence under 4 other names. The record is from RNAcentral.